UUGUUUGAAAAUUAGAAUUAAGAUUUUUAUAUAAGUACGGCGAUGGGUUAUAGUAAACAUAAAAAAUUUUGUAGAUCUUACCUUUUGUUUAAUGGUUGGAUUAAAAUUUAAUUAAUUAAUUGCUCCCGAAGUGAGAAGAGCCAUUCACUAGCUCUCUUUAGAGUAAACCCUUAUGUUGCAAUAUGAGUUGAAGACUAGUGAAUAGGGGCGAAAUACCUUCAAUUCUCAAGAUAUCUGGAAGUUUAGGAAAAGCAUAUAGUGCUUGAAAGUGAUAUAUAAAAUGGUUAGGUUUUAUAUAAAUAGAAUUUAAAAUGAGUUGUCGUUUUUUAGGGUUAAACUCCUUGAUAAAUGAUUAAGUAUAAAUUAAUUUGUUUAAAAUCUAUUUUUUACUAAAUUUUCUAUAGUAAUUUACCUGUAGGUUGAUAAUGUUCAAAUUAGUAAUAACUUUCUCACAUGAACGAUUUAUUAUCAUAUAUAAUAUUGUUUAUGGUAAAAUAAUUUAAAGGAACUCGGCAAAUAUAAACUUGGACUGUUUAACAAAAACAUAGCCAAUAGAAAAUAUUUUUGGUUUAACCUGCCCAAUGUGAAAUAUGAAUGGCCGCGGUACUUUGACCGUGCUAAGGUAGCGUAAUCAGUUGGCUUUUAAAUGGAGUCAGGAAUGAAUGGAAUAACCUGGUUUAGCUGUCUCUAAAUUAUUCAUUUGAAUUUACUGUUUAAGUGAAAAAGCUUAAAAUAGGAAAAGGGACGAGAAGACCCUUAGAAUUUUUUUUAAAAAGGAUUAACUUUAUGAUUUUGUUGGGGCGACAGAGAAAAAUUUAAAACUUUCCGUUAUUACAAGCCGAAUAUUUAAGUGAGGAUAAAUUACCUGAGGGAUAACAGCAUAAUUCUAAAAUUGAGUUUGUGACCUCGAUGUUGGACUAGGAAACUAGCAGAUCAGCCGUUUGCUGUGUGGGUUCUGUUCGAACUCUAAUUCCU
Molecule: ribosomal RNA, 975 nt
Filed under: Facelina bostoniensis
Lineage: Eukaryota; Metazoa; Mollusca; Gastropoda; Nudibranchia; Facelinidae
Description: large subunit ribosomal RNA
Rfam family: Archaeal large subunit ribosomal RNA (bases 482-975)
Source: RNAcentral